RNAcentral lists this transfer RNA (77 nucleotides) under Pseudomonas indica. RNAcentral's name for it is "tRNA-Arg". It matches the Rfam family "tRNA". From Rfam's summary of the family: Transfer RNA (tRNA) molecules are approximately 80 nucleotides in length. RNAcentral also lists the same sequence under 3 other names. The record is from RNAcentral. Lineage: Bacteria; Pseudomonadati; Pseudomonadota; Gammaproteobacteria; Pseudomonadales; Pseudomonadaceae.
GUCCCAGUAGCUCAAUUGGAUAGAGCGUCCCCCUCCUAAGGGGAAGGUUGCAGGUUCAAUUCCUGCCUGGGACACCA